UCUAGGUUCUAUUUCUCCUACGCUGCAAAUCCGAAAAAUAGCCGCUGCCCUUCUUUAUGCAAGCCUCUGUCUGCUGCUGAAAUAACCAAAGUUGAUUGGAACGCUUGAUUCGAGCUCUCUCAUUUUUAUACGAUCCACAAGUAAUGGCUUCGGUUGUGAAAGUGUUUGAAUAUCUUAAAAUCCAUUUGGAAGAGUUAAAAAAGCCACCUAAGAGCUUUUAUAUCAAGGUUUACUAGAGCUGGUGAUUUGGAAAUGUGUAUGAAGGAUAGGCCGGCCGCUCACUCUAAGGGCCGAAACAGGGUUGCUAUUAAGCGUAUUGAAUUAUGAAUUUGAGCAAUGAGACCCUGAGUUUUGGAAGGAGAUCAUGAUGCUUUCCCGUUACAUUCCUUAAAAUUUUAUAUCUUCAUCUCUCUUCUUGGAUUUUGUGACGAGGAUGGUGAGAAGAUCCUUGUCCCAGAAACUCCUGCAGAUCAGAUAAAUAAGGGAACAAUCUCUGCCGGAGUCUAUGUGAGUAUGCAAAAAACCUCAACAACCUCCUCCUCCUCUAUUGAUCAGGAGUUUAUUACAGCUAUUGAAGUCGCAAUGAAGGAGUUGGUAGAUAAGGGCUAUUUGAAUUAUGUUGAUCUUCAAGAUGCUGAACAGUAUCUCUACACGUCCAAGUUAGCUGCUAAAACUUUCUUGGGCGAGCAUGACCUGAAGAAGAGGCGUGACGUGAUUAAAGAAUCGAAUGCGGCGUGGCGGGAGUACGAGUAUGCAUCUAACGGAAUCCGAAACCAUUAACGCCUCAAGAUAUGCCGAUCGGUACUUUCAGAUUUGUUGUCUCAUGAGGUCAUGGAGAUCAACCUGUGCUCAAUAUCAUAGUACAGAGGUCCUUUGGGAACGACGUGCCAACCACCGUAACACUGGGCGUUGUGGCCAAGGUCGACUACUCGACCGCCGCCAGCCCCUUGGCUCUCUCAGAUGCGCGGAAACCCGACCUCCACCCGCCCGGAGACAUGACAGUGGAAUAAUCGGUAAAACCUCGCCUCCAUCCAAAACGAACCAGCGCCACCCGUAUUCACCCUUCACCCGAAUGCCGCAGAAAUAAUGGGGAGAGUGGGAAUCGAACCUGGGUCACAAGGAACAACAAGUCUUUCCCUAACUACUCCACCACUACCUCAUAUGUGAGCCAAGAAACCAUGAAACGGUGAAUGGCUCAGAAAUGGUUUAACCGAGUGUAUCAGAUGGUUCAACCGGAUGUAUCAGGCGGUAUAACCAGUACAACCGGCCGGUUUGAACCGGUUUUUAAAAACAUUGUGAAAAUGUUUAAUUCCAACUAUGAUAGCCUAAACAAGUAAUGGCAGGAUGAUUGCCAUAUAUUUUAAUUUUUGUUCUUGGUGAUGUUAGUAUUAUCAAGUCAUUUUAAGACAAUAUAUAUUUUAAUUUUUGUUGUUGGUGACAAAAUCAUCACCUAUCUGUUGCCUGUUUACCGGUCGU
This is a long non-coding RNA of Helianthus annuus (common sunflower), 1476 nucleotides long. RefSeq lists it as uncharacterized. The transcript is spliced from 4 exons. NCBI's taxonomy places the organism in Eukaryota, Viridiplantae, Streptophyta, Magnoliopsida, Asterales, Asteraceae. The record is from RefSeq and is a predicted model, not a curated record.